GUAAUUCAACUACAAAAACA
This 20-nucleotide transfer RNA is filed under the name Crotaphytus collaris. Its description in RNAcentral is "partial tRNA-Gln". The record is from RNAcentral. Lineage: Eukaryota; Metazoa; Chordata; Lepidosauria; Squamata; Crotaphytidae.